UAUAAACUAUCCUUUUUAACUCUUCUCGUGCCCUAGCCAUCACCUUCGUCGAAUCCCUCUCGCGCUGACUCCUCUUUCUCCCUCUCUUCCGCACGAUCGACGCCGACGACCCUCUCAUCGCCGACACCGAUCCGCCCUCUUCGGUCACAAGUGAGAAGUGGUCCCUCUCCGAGCUUCCUCGCGCCAUCACAGAUGUCGCAGUACCAGAUUUCGGCCUUCCCUCUGCCCUAGCACCGAUCGCUCGAUCCACUGCCACCUCCGACCACGACAAGAGCUAGCCAAGCAGUGCCGAGCGUUUCUCUCCUGUCUCUGCCCUAGAUCGCCGACAGCUACGAGCCUUAAUAGCCGACGUCGAGCUACCUUUGCCUCUACCCUAACUCUGUAUCGCCGUAGCAUUGGGAUUUCUGACAGAGAGGAAGGCAUCAAAUCAAAGUAUUGGUGGAUAUCCCUAUUUUCGAUCACUGCCACUUCAAUUCUUGAAGCUGUGGAGGUCACAGGAGGUCAUGGGUGAGGAGGUAAAGGGUUGAUGAGCUUUUGGACAGUGGAUUGUUGGGAGGUGAGCUGCCGAAUUGCUACCAAACCUCAAGGUAGCAGUAGAUGAUUAAUGGAUGCUUGGAGGGAUGUCGGCUGCCAGUCCCACUUCCCACAUCACACUCGAGGAUCGUUUUCUGUUUGGGUUUGUUAUUGUUUGGGUGGUAUUUUUGUUAGUGCCGUUGUUGGUCUUGUAGGACCUUUGCAGCCGACUGGAAGGGGGGUUGUUGGAUAGUCCUGCAAAAAUAAAAAAACAAAGCAACAACCCUUCCUCGAACUCUUUAAGCUAACACUUGUAUAAAUAAAGUAAAGCAGUAAAUGAAAAGCAUAAAGAAAAAGUGAGGCAAAAGGAUUUACUUG
This is a long non-coding RNA of Zingiber officinale, 891 nucleotides long. RefSeq lists it as uncharacterized. The record is from RefSeq and is a predicted model, not a curated record. Lineage: Eukaryota; Viridiplantae; Streptophyta; Magnoliopsida; Zingiberales; Zingiberaceae. The transcript has 4 exons.